GACGAACGCUGGCGGCGUGCCUAAUACAUGCAAGUCGAGCGAGCAAUUUUAGCAGAAUACCUUCGGGUAGGAAGCUAAGAGCGCGAGCGGCGGAUGGGUGAGUAACACGUGGGCAACCUACCCUUUAGCUGGGGAUACCACUUGGAAACAGGUGCUAAUACCGAAUAAGAAGCAAGAGCGCAUGCUCAAGCUAUGAAAGGCGGCUUUAAGCUGUCACUAAAGGAUGGGCCCGCGGUGCAUUAGCUAGUUGGUAAGGUAACGGCUUACCAAGGCGAUGAUGCAGAGCCGAGUUGGGAGACUGAACGGCCACAUUGGGACUGAGACACGGCCCAAACUCCUACGGGAGGCAGCAGUAGGGAAUCUUCCACAAUGGACGCAAGUCUGAUGGAGCAACGCCGCGUGAGUGAAGAAGGUUUUCGGAUCGUAAAGCUCUGUUGUUGGUGAAGAAGGAUAAGGAUAGUAACUGAUUCAUAUUUGACGGUAAUCAACCAGAAAGUCACGGCUAACUACGUGCCAGCAGCCGCUGUAA
RNAcentral lists this ribosomal RNA (529 nucleotides) under uncultured bacterium. RNAcentral describes it as "partial 16S ribosomal RNA". It matches the Rfam family "Bacterial small subunit ribosomal RNA", at positions 28 to 523 of the family's 1533-position model. The record is from RNAcentral.